Molecule: ribosomal RNA, 1447 nt
Filed under: Streptococcus thermophilus
Lineage: Bacteria; Bacillati; Bacillota; Bacilli; Lactobacillales; Streptococcaceae
Description: bacterial SSU rRNA
Rfam family: Bacterial small subunit ribosomal RNA
Source: RNAcentral
CUCGCCGCGUGCUAUACUGCAGUAGAACGCUGAAGAGAGGAGCUUGCUCUUCUUGGAUGAGUUGCGAACGGGUGAGUAACGCGUAGGUAACCUGCCUUGUAGCGGGGGAUAACUAUUGGAAACGAUAGCUAAUACCGCAUAACAAUGGAUGACACAUGUCAUUUAUUUGAAAGGGGCAAUUGCUCCACUACAAGAUGGACCUGCGUUGUAUUAGCUAGUAGGUGAGGUAAUGGCUCACCUAGGCGACGAUACAUAGCCGACCUGAGAGGGUGAUCGGCCACACUGGGACUGAGACACGGCCCAGACUCCUACGGGAGGCAGCAGUAGGGAAUCUUCGGCAAUGGGGGCAACCCUGACCGAGCAACGCCGCGUGAGUGAAGAAGGUUUUCGGAUCGUAAAGCUCUGUUGUAAGUCAAGAACGGGUGUGAGAGUGGAAAGUUCACACUGUGACGGUAGCUUACCAGAAAGGGACGGCUAACUACGUGCCAGCAGCCGCGGUAAUACGUAGGUCCCGAGCGUUGUCCGGAUUUAUUGGGCGUAAAGCGAGCGCAGGCGGUUUGAUAAGUCUGAAGUUAAAGGCUGUGGCUCAACCAUAGUUCGCUUUGGAAACUGUCAAACUUGAGUGCAGAAGGGGAGAGUGGAAUUCCAUGUGUAGCGGUGAAAUGCGUAGAUAUAUGGAGGAACACCGGUGGCGAAAGCGGCUCUCUGGUCUGUAACUGACGCUGAGGCUCGAAAGCGUGGGGAGCGAACAGGAUUAGAUACCCUGGUAGUCCACGCCGUAAACGAUGAGUGCUAGGUGUUGGAUCCUUUCCGGGAUUCAGUGCCGCAGCUAACGCAUUAAGCACUCCGCCUGGGGAGUACGACCGCAAGGUUGAAACUCAAAGGAAUUGACGGGGGCCCGCACAAGCGGUGGAGCAUGUGGUUUAAUUCGAAGCAACGCGAAGAACCUUACCAGGUCUUGACAUCCCGAUGCUAUUUCUAGAGAUAGAAAGUUACUUCGGUACAUCGGUGACAGGUGGUGCAUGGUUGUCGUCAGCUCGUGUCGUGAGAUGUUGGGUUAAGUCCCGCAACGAGCGCAACCCCUAUUGUUAGUUGCCAUCAUUCAGUUGGGCACUCUAGCGAGACUGCCGGUAAUAAACCGGAGGAAGGUGGGGAUGACGUCAAAUCAUCAUGCCCCUUAUGACCUGGGCUACACACGUGCUACAAUGGUUGGUACAACGAGUUGCGAGUCGGUGACGGCGAGCUAAUCUCUUAAAGCCAAUCUCAGUUCGGAUUGUAGGCUGCAACUCGCCUACAUGAAGUCGGAAUCGCUAGUAAUCGCGGAUCAGCACGCCGCGGUGAAUACGUUCCCGGGCCUUGUACACACCGCCCGUCACACCACGAGAGUUUGUAACACCCGAAGUCGGUGAGGUAACCUUUGGAGCCAGCCGCCUAAGUGACGGGAAAA